CGGGAAUGAGUACAGGCGCCAUCACCAUAGCAACAAUCUCGGCUCUGAUAUCGCGCUUCGUCCGCAGAAGCGCUCCCCGGCCUCCAUGCGACACCGCCUCGGUGCAUAUGGCUGUCUUUUCAACAAGGAAGAAAUGUUAGGCUCGCCUGAAUCAGUCUUGCGCUGUGUUCACGUGAAUCGUCGCUACUGACAAUCCCUUCAGAGUGGGACAUUGCCUUACGGACAUCGGAACAGGAUUGGUGAUAUAUAUUUGCGUAUCGAGGAUGAGGAAGGACGUUCAGUACAGGGACCUGCCCGGAGGUCCCUUAAUGAUCAAAUUUGCUGACGAGCUGCCUCUGUGCACACUGUGCUCGAGGUGCGGCAUGCUGUCGAAGGAUAUGUUCGAGGAUCCGUCAUCGCACGCUUUCUGCAGCGUGUGCAUCUUCGAGUGCAGCGACCGGAAGAAAAUACACUGCAAGUACGAGAACAAGGACGUUUCAGUCGACGAGAUGAUGCCUGCAAUCGACAUAUUCAAUAUCGUCAUGGAUCAAGUGGUUUACUGUCCAAACACAAGAGAUGGUGACUCCUGCAGGGAACACUGUAGUUUGAAAGACUUAGAGGGACACUUGUUGAAGUGUGAAAAAACGGAAAUUAUCUGCCUGUCCUGCGGCGAUUCAGUGAAGGGCGUUGAUUGGCAAGACCACGUGACUUCAUGCCCACAACAUGUCGUUCAGUGCCGUCACUGCGUUGUGGCAGUCCCUCGUGGGAGGCUGGAGCAUCACGAACGUGUGUGCAGCUCCAAUCCAAACGCUAUCCGGGACGUGGGCUCAUGCCCGUCAACGAAUGCAGAUUCAGCUGCAUGGUCACGCAGCAACUCGGACCCAAAUCACGAAAAGAUUUCGGUGUCUCAGAACAGUAACGAGCAUCAUCUAACGCCCGAAGCCAGGGAUAAAGCACGUGCCAACACAGAGGCCGUCUGCAAGAGUACGCCAAGUGCCGUGAAUAACGUUGGUGGUGUCGUCAUCGAAAGUUGUCCACUAUGUAAACGUAAUGUGAAGAGCACAAAUAUGGCAAAGCACUACAGUAUUUGUCAGCAACGGAUGCCCAGUCUAGAUCAUGACGAAGCCAAUCAAACACCAGGAAUAUCAGUCCAACCUUCAAUGAGAGAAACUGUCCCGACCAAAGAGCCAAUACGCGAAUAUACUGGGAACCCACACGAAGGUUACAGUACUCCCGAAUCACGCAAAGUGUCACUGCCCCAAGGACAUCAUUCAGGUGAACAUGCAGGGCCCUCUCAAGAAGCUGGUGGGAUCAAGGUGCCAGUGCAGAUCUACCCGGAUCUUCAACAUCAAGCAUGCCAUACGGCUGCCCUGGCUGCGCCGCAGUAUGUUCAACCUCAACAUGAAAUGCCUUUUCCACCUUUUCGAGCUGUCGCUGCUAUGGCACCCAUGCCACCUGUAGCACCUGGAAGACGUCCUGAUCACCAUGCACCAAUCAAUCAAGGUUUCAUCGACAGUGCACCAGUAGGUAGAGACUCUCAACAUCCGGUGCCUGUUGUCCCUCUAUUCACAGAGAAUCACUUUGGACGAGGCGGACAGCAUAAUCAACUAGCAUGCGCCGUACCGACAAGAUUGUUCUCUUGCAAGCGCUGCUAAUGACAAAGCACACUCCAAGCAACGAGCUUCUGGUCCUCCCACCUCUUCGAUGGUGUAUUGUCCAGAAUUGCAACAGCAUCGAAGAGUGGAUGAGGUUGCUACCCCGGCAUCGGAAGAUUACGACCUGUUGAGUGAUCUUGAGGACCUGAGCAUCUCAGGUGGACCGAAUGAGCAC
RNAcentral lists this unclassified non-coding RNA (1809 nucleotides) under Rhipicephalus microplus (southern cattle tick). RNAcentral describes it as "uncharacterized LOC119164175, transcript variant X3". Lineage: Eukaryota; Metazoa; Arthropoda; Arachnida; Ixodida; Ixodidae. The record is from RNAcentral.